GGGAGGGGAAAUAUCACCCUGAAUGUGCCUUAUCUCCUCUGAUCUCAGAAGCUAAGCAGGGUCAGGCCUGGCUAGAAUUUGAAUCCUGUUUCA
This 93-nucleotide ribosomal RNA is filed under the name Nannospalax galili (Upper Galilee mountains blind mole rat). Lineage: Eukaryota; Metazoa; Chordata; Mammalia; Rodentia; Spalacidae. The record is from RNAcentral.